RNAcentral lists this ribosomal RNA (624 nucleotides) under uncultured bacterium. RNAcentral's name for it is "bacterial SSU rRNA". It matches the Rfam family "Bacterial small subunit ribosomal RNA", at positions 58 to 674 of the family's 1533-position model. The record is from RNAcentral.
CAAGUCGAGCGGCAGCGCGGGGGCAACCCUGGCGGCGAGCGGCGAACGGGUGAGUAAUGCAUUCGGAACGUGUCCCGUAAUGGGGGAUAACGCCGCGAAAGCGGCGCUAAUACCGCAUACGCUCUACGGAGGAAAGUGGGGGACCUGCAAGGGCCUCACGUUAGGGGAGCGGCCGAUGUCCGAUUAGCUAGUUGGUGGGGUAAUGGCUUACCAAGGCGACGAUCGGUAGCUGGUCUGAGAGGAUGAUCAGCCACACUGGGACUGAGACACGGCCCAGACUCCUACGGGAGGCAGCAGUGGGGAAUUUUGGACAAUGGGGGCAACCCUGAUCCAGCCAUGCCGCGUGCGGGAAGAAGGCCUUCGGGUUGUAAACCGCUUUUAGCCGGGAAGAAAAGGCUUGGGCUAAUACCCUGAGUUUUUGACGGUACCGGCGGAAUAAGCACCGGCUAACUACGUGCCAGCAGCCGCGGUAAUACGUAGGGUGCGAGCGUUAAUCGGAAUUACUGGGCGUAAAGCGUGCGCAGGCGGUUCGUUGUGUCGGUGGUGAAAGCCCCGGGCUUAACCUGGGAAUGGCCAUGGAAACUGGCGAACUGGAGUGUGGCAGAGGGGGGUGGAAUUCCGCGU